Molecule: transfer RNA, 87 nt
Filed under: Dorea sp. CAG:317
Lineage: Bacteria; Bacillati; Bacillota; Clostridia; Lachnospirales; Lachnospiraceae
Also listed under: 3 other names
Rfam family: tRNA
About the family: Transfer RNA (tRNA) molecules are approximately 80 nucleotides in length. Their secondary structure includes four short double-helical elements and three loops (D, anti-codon, and T loops).
Source: Rfam by way of RNAcentral
GGAGAUGUACUCAAGAGGUCAUAAGAGGUCGCACUCGAAAUGCGAUAGGCCCUCCGGGGUGCGUGGGUUCGAAUCCCACCAUCUCCG